GAACCACCACAGCAACUGGGUCUGUGGGCAGGGGUGCACUUGGCAGUAGCACUGGUGUCUGAGGUGCAGGUAUGUGCUGAUCUUCUGUGAAACCAGGGUGCUAGUUGGGCUCCUUUCAGUGACUCAGGUGGAGUGGUGGGGAGGG
Molecule: non-coding RNA, 145 nt
Organism: Canis lupus familiaris (dog)
Lineage: Eukaryota; Metazoa; Chordata; Mammalia; Carnivora; Canidae
Source: RefSeq, marked provisional